GAUCGGGUUGAGGCAUGGAAACAACCUAUUUGUAGAAAUGCAAGCUAGGUGCAUACGGUACACACAUACUAUACCCUAUCCGGACACUGGCCAGGGAGCAUUACAUAUACAUGGUAAGCCCUUUUAGACAUAUUAGGUAUCACACACAAAUGACACAAGUUUGAUUCACAGUACGAUAAACUAAAUUCAGCAGUCCUUAUAUUUCUGUGGCCACAUAUCACACCAAGGUUAACACAGUAAAAUAAUGAUGAUGAUCUGAUUUUGAAAAAGAAAA
Lycium ferocissimum is the source of this 274-nucleotide long non-coding RNA. RefSeq lists it as uncharacterized. NCBI's taxonomy places the organism in Eukaryota, Viridiplantae, Streptophyta, Magnoliopsida, Solanales, Solanaceae. The transcript has 2 exons. The record is from RefSeq and is a predicted model, not a curated record.